RNAcentral lists this long non-coding RNA (988 nucleotides) under Corvus moneduloides (New Caledonian crow). Its description in RNAcentral is "lncRNA (ENSCMUG00000015357.2)". Lineage: Eukaryota; Metazoa; Chordata; Aves; Passeriformes; Corvidae. The record is from RNAcentral.
UUAGGGUCACGUCUACUCAAAUGAUCUUCAACUAGCAUGUUAACAUCAGUGCCAUUUGUAUUUUCCAGGCUGAUUCUACCUUUGGUGGUCUGUUUAUCUCUACCUGCAUGCCCAGGAAAAGACAGCCCCGCAUCACUUCUGAUUUGGUGACCUCAGGAGACUGCUCAGGGGGAAUCCAGGGACGAGAAAUUCAAUGGUUGCAGUUUUAUAGUCUUUAUCAGACCAUGAAGGCUGUAAUCAAAAGAUAAGAGCUAUCAUCUGUCACCUCAAUCAAGUUUCAAGAGAAAAUCAUUGCAAGAGAGCCUCUGGGAGCUUCUGCUACUUCUUCCAACCUGCUGAACUAUGUUCAAUCCAGGUAAUCACCUUUUUCCUUCUUAAAGUUAUGAACAGUCUUCCCUUCCUGGGGAAAUGCAGUUAUUCAUUACCUUGUGACUGUUCCCAUGACUGGGGAGUGUUCCUGUGGAUGCAGGUGUGUGGGACUGAGGUCAAAGCAAACCUCCAUGGCUAGAAAUUAGGGUGUGGGAAGUGGAAUUGUCCCUAGAGAUGAAGAUUUAGAAGUAAUUCCCAAUCUGUGCUCCCUCUUGAAUGAGGGGCCUGUUCAGAACCAGCCCAUCACAGCAGUGAGACAAAUCACAAUUGGUCUUCCUCCCCGAUACUGCAGAAUGGUCAGGAGAGGGCUACUUGGGGUUCUGGAAGCUGAGUUGACCAGUUUUGAAAGGGGAAGAAGGACCCAGUGUUUGUUCAAGGCUUUGCUCCUUCUGGAUCCAUCUUUCAUCCAAGUUCUUUCAUGAGACUGUCAGACCAGGGCUUCUCUGAACCCCUCAGCCAAAUCCUCAUCUGGUAAAAUCUGAAAGAACCCCAUUUAUUUCAAGGGAUCUGCACCCCCUCAGUCUGUGGGGGAGCCUGGAAGGAGCCAGUGAGAGCACCGGGAUGCCGAAGGUGAAGUGAUGGGGCUGGGAUGUGGAAGGUUCGGAAGCUGCAGGUGAGC